This 773-nucleotide ribosomal RNA is filed under the name bacterium enrichment culture clone Dan60S_31E. RNAcentral's name for it is "bacterial SSU rRNA". It matches the Rfam family "Bacterial small subunit ribosomal RNA", at positions 736 to 1503 of the family's 1533-position model. The record is from RNAcentral.
UUAAGGGACACAGAGCGGAAAAACAGUGGGAGCCAAACAGGAUUAGAUACCUUGGUAUAGCACGCAGUAUACGAUGGACAUUAGGUUAAAGGGGUAAUGACCACUGCUGAACCGAAGUUAACGCGUAAAGUGCCCCGCAUGGGGAGAACGAGCACAAGGUUAAAUCUCAAAGGAAUUGACGGGGGGACGCACAAGCGGUGGAGCAUAUGGUUUAAUUUGAAGCAUCGAGAAGAACCUUACCUGGGCUGAACAUACCGGGGAAUCUCCUGUAAACAGGGGAGUGCCCUUCGGGGAACCCGGAGACAGGUGCUGCAUGGCUGUCGUCAUCUCGUGUCGUGAGAUGUGAGGUUAAGUCGCGCAACGAGCGCAACCCCUGCCUCUAGUUGCCAGCAUUUCGGGUGGGCACUCUAGAGGGACUGCCGGUGUCAAUCCGGAGGAAGGUGGGGACGACGUCAAGUCCUCAUGGCCUUUAUGUCCAGGGCUACACACGUGCUACAAUGGGCGGUACAAAGGGCAGCGAGCCUACGAGGGGGAGCCAAUCCCAAAAAGCCGUCCUCAGUUCGGAUCGGAGUCUGCAACUCGAUUCCGUGAAGGUGGAAUCGGUAGUAAUCGCGGAUCAGCAUGCCGCGGUGAAUACGUUCCCGGGCCUUGUACACACCGCCCGUCACACCACGAAAGUCGGCUGUACCAGAAGUGCGUGGGCUAACCCAUCUGGGAGGCAGCGUACCAAGGUAUGGUCGGUAAUUGGGGUGAAGUCGUAACAAGGUAACCGU